This 253-nucleotide ribosomal RNA is filed under the name uncultured bacterium. Its description in RNAcentral is "partial 16S ribosomal RNA". It matches the Rfam family "Bacterial small subunit ribosomal RNA", at positions 524 to 776 of the family's 1533-position model. The record is from RNAcentral.
UACGAAGGGGGCUAGCGUUGUUCGGAUUUACUGGGCGUAAAGCGCACGUAGGCGGAUCGUUAAGUCGGGGGUGAAAUCCUGGAGCUCAACUCCAGAACUGCCUUCGAUACUGGCGAUCUUGAGUCCGGAAGAGGUGAGUGGAACUCCUAGUGUAGAGGUGGAAUUCGUAGAUAUUCGCAAGAACACCAGUGGCGAAGGCGGCUUACUGGUCCGGUUCUGACGCUGAGGCGCGAAAGCGUGGGGAGCAAACAGG